Molecule: ribosomal RNA, 751 nt
Filed under: uncultured Methanosaeta sp.
Lineage: Archaea; Methanobacteriati; Methanobacteriota; Methanomicrobia; Methanotrichales; Methanotrichaceae
Description: bacterial SSU rRNA
Rfam family: Archaeal small subunit ribosomal RNA
Source: RNAcentral
UGCUAUCGAGGUUCGACUAAGCCAUGCGAGUCGAAUGUAGCAAUACAUGGCGAACUGCUCAGUAACACGUGGACAACCUGCCCUUAGGACGGGGAUAAACCCGGGAAACUGGGUAUAAUACCCGAUAGGUCUCGAUUGCUGGAAUGCAUCGAGAUUUAAAGCUCCGGCGCCUAAGGAUGGGUCUGCGGCCUAUCAGGUAGUAGUGGGUGUAGCGUACCUACUAGCCUACGACGGGUACGGGUUGUGAGAGCAAGAGCCCGGAGAUGGAUUCUGAGACACGAAUCCAGGCCCUACGGGGUGCAGCAGGCGCGAAAACUUUACAAUGCUGGCAACAGCGAUAAGGGAACCUCGAGUGCCAGGUUACAAAUCUGGCUGUCGAGAUGCCUAAAAAGCAUUUCAUAGCAAGGGCCGGGCAAGACCGGUGCCAGCCGCCGCGGUAACACCGGCGGCUCGAGUGGUAACCGUUAUUAUUGGGUCUAAAGGGUCUGUAGCCGGCCGGAUAAGUCUCUUGAGAAAUCUGGCAGCUUAACUGUCAGGCUUUCAGGAGAUACUGUCUGGCUCGAGGCCGGGAGAGGUGAGAGGUACUUCAGGGGUAGGGGUGAAAUCUUGUAAUCCUUGAAGGACCACCAGUGGCGAAGGCGUCUCACCAGAACGGACCUGACGGCAAGGGACGAAAGCUAGGGGCACGAACCGGAUUAGAUACCCGGGUAGUCCUAGCCGUAACGAUACUCGCUAGGUGUCGGCCACGGUG